RNAcentral lists this ribosomal RNA (441 nucleotides) under uncultured bacterium. RNAcentral's name for it is "partial 16S ribosomal RNA". It matches the Rfam family "Bacterial small subunit ribosomal RNA", at positions 338 to 795 of the family's 1533-position model. The record is from RNAcentral.
CCUACGGGAGGCAGCAGGGGGGGAUAUUGCACAAUGGGGGGAACCCUGAUGCAGCGACGCCGCGGGGGGGAAGGAGGGUUUGGGCGCGUAAAGCCCUAUCGGCAGGGAAGAAGGAGGACGGUACCUGACCAAGAAGCCCCGGCUAACUACGGGCCAGCAGCCGCGGUAAGACGGCGGGGGCAAGCGUUAUCCGGAUUUACUGGGUGUAAAGGGGGCGCAGAUGGCAGCGAAAGCCAGGCGUGAAAGCCCGGGGCCCAACCCCGGGACUGCUCUUGGAACUGCGCGGCGGGAGUGCAGGAGGGGCAGGCGGAAUUCCUGGUGUAGCGGUGAAAUGCGUAGAUAUCAGGAGGAACACCGGUGGCGAAGGCGGCCUGCUGGACUGCGACUGACGUUGAGGCCCGAAAGCGUGGGGAGCAAACAGGAUUAGAUACCCUUGUAGUC